Molecule: ribosomal RNA, 448 nt
Filed under: uncultured bacterium
Lineage: Bacteria
Description: bacterial SSU rRNA
Rfam family: Bacterial small subunit ribosomal RNA
Source: RNAcentral
UGAGGAAUAUUGCACAAUGGGCGCAAGCCUGAUGCAGCGACGCCGCGUGGGUGAUGAAGGUCUUCGGAUCGUAAAGCCCUUUUCUGCGUGACGAGACAGGACGGUAGCGCAGGAAUAAGUCUCGGCUAACUACGUGCCAGCAGCCGCGGUAAAACGUAGGAGACGAACGUUAUUCGGAGUUACUGGGCGUAAAGGGCGUGUAGGCGGUUUGUUAAGUCUGGCGUGAAAGCUCUCGGCUAAACCGGGAGAGGUCGUUGGAUACUGGCGAACUAGAGGAUGGUAGAGGCGUGUGGAAUUCCGGGUGUAGUGGUGAAAUGCGUAGAGAUCCGGAGGAACACCAGUGGCGAAGGCGACACGCUGGGCCAUACCUGACGCUAAAGCGCGACAGCAUGGGGAGCAAACGGGAUUAGAUACCCCAGUAGUCCCUGAGCGGGCUGGCAAGGCGCAU